This 253-nucleotide ribosomal RNA is filed under the name uncultured bacterium. RNAcentral's name for it is "partial 16S ribosomal RNA". It matches the Rfam family "Bacterial small subunit ribosomal RNA", at positions 524 to 776 of the family's 1533-position model. The record is from RNAcentral.
UACGUAGGCAGCGAGCGUUGUUCGGAGUUACUGGGCGUAAAGGGUGUGUAGGCGGUUUUCUAAGUUUGGUGUGAAAUCUCCCGGCUUAACCGGGAGGGUGCGCCGAAAACUGGGAGACUAGAGUGCGGGAUGGGAGAGUAGAAUUCCUGGUGUAGCGGUGAAAUGCGUAGAUAUCAGAAGGAACACCAAUAGCGAAGGCAGCUCGCUGGGACGGUACUGACGCUAAGGCGCGAAAGCGUGGGGAGCGAACAGG